This 72-nucleotide transfer RNA is filed under the name Ictidomys tridecemlineatus (thirteen-lined ground squirrel). RNAcentral describes it as "Spermophilus tridecemlineatus (thirteen-lined ground squirrel) tRNA". It matches the Rfam family "tRNA". Rfam says of the family: Transfer RNA (tRNA) molecules are approximately 80 nucleotides in length. Lineage: Eukaryota; Metazoa; Chordata; Mammalia; Rodentia; Sciuridae. The record is from Rfam by way of RNAcentral.
AGUGAUAUAGCUCAGUGGUAAAGCACUUGUCUAGAAUGCAUAAGGUCCUGGAUUCAAUCUCCAUUACCACAC